GUUUAUCUGAAUCAGGUGUGUUGGAGCACAUGCAGGCCAGUGUGAGGAGGGAAACACUGCUCCAGAAUAGAAGAGCACACUCUUCAUCAGCGAGAACCACUUACCACCAGCAUCCUCCGUUGUAGCUUCACAACAUUUGGGAUUGGAUUGCUGUUGAUCAACGACUUCUUGUAAAUGAAGUGGAGCUUGAUAGCGAUGCCGAGGUAGCAGCAGAUGAUGACGAUGGCCAGCGAGCAGGACAGUCCGAAGGGCUCCGGUCCGUACUGACCCCAGCCCAGGAUCGGGAACAGAGCCCACAUGAGCGCGUACAGCCAGCACCACAGGCACAGCACCUUCACCUGUUUCCAGCUCACGUUUUCCUCUGCACAGAUAAAAGGAAAAGUAAUUGGUUUUCACCGCUGUUCUUUUAAACAUGCUCUGCAUCAUUCACACAGAUAGAGAGUCUUUAUUAAAGCACUUCACACCCAAAGUGACAUCUACUUUGUCACUGACAGAGAGAAUGAAUGCAAACCUGCUUAUACAAUAGAGGGCUUAUUAUUGCACGGAAUAAUUGCAAGCAUGCAAAUACAUUUAUUAAGCACAGAAUAUACUUUUGUUUGCUCAAAUGAAAUUAUGUUUUGCUUCUCUUCAAAAUAUUAUUUCUGUGCUUGCAAAAUAUAUUUUUCCGUGCUCAAAGUCUCACAUUGUUCCUUCACGAAUGUGGCCCAAAUAGGACGCCAUAUCAAACUGACUUACAUAAAAGUGAUGAGACGUUAGAGAUGAAGAUGAGUAACAAACACCAUAUCUUGAAGGUUCUGUGAGAAGAGAUAACUGGCAGAACUUGAAUCGCAUACUCGUUUGUUUGUAUAAUUACUUUAAGCUUCCAUAGCCCUUAGAAUAUAUAUAUAUAGAUUGUAGAUCACUCUGCUUGUUUUACCUUAUUCUUCUUAUGUCCAUAUGGACACCCAGAGGGUCUUUCACACUUUAAUUUGAAGUUCUUACAUGUUAAUCACAUCUUAUGUACAUAAAGUAUUGUGCACAAUGUAAGCCAAGUCAGGGAUUAACAUGCAAACAGCCCAUCUGAUGGGAUUUUGUACGUUUAUAUGUGCAGGCAUUUUAUAUGCAGAUAUCCAAGCUGUGCGUAGCCUUUACUGGAUGUGCAUCUGUGUGUUGCUUUUAAUGUUUUCAAUGUGCUUCUAGCAAUUUGCAAGUGGUUGGACCUAUAACUGUUGAACAUGGCUAAACCCACUUGUCACUACAUAUUCUAGGCUGAACCUGUCCGCUUAAUUACAGAGAUGCCCUUAUGUUUUAGUUUUUUGCAUUUUCUCCAUUCUCCAUGCAUUCUCCAUGUUUCCCCUCUUUAAACAUGACUUAUUCCAGGUUAUAACAAUGUAGUGUGUAAUUACAAUAUGUAAAAUUGUAUGUUUUAAUAACCAACAAAGUCUCUUUUCUAUAAAGUGGUACGAUUUAUAUCGUAAUAAACAUA
This is a long non-coding RNA of Solea senegalensis (Senegalese sole), 1465 nucleotides long. RefSeq lists it as uncharacterized. NCBI's taxonomy places the organism in Eukaryota, Metazoa, Chordata, Actinopteri, Pleuronectiformes, Soleidae. The record is from RefSeq and is a predicted model, not a curated record. The transcript is spliced from 3 exons.